GGUCAGAGCGCGGGAGGCGGCGGGCCCAGGGCUCAAAAUGCCAGACGCAAUGUCUAACAAGGAUGGAGACAAGAAAAGAGAUUGUAGACCUUUAAAAAACAAGAAGGCAGUAAGUACCUGUUUCAUCAGCAUAAGGGCUAUUUGUAUGUAAGGAUGGAAGGAGCCUGGGAGCCUGAAUGGGGGAAAGUUGUCCAAUGACUAAGGACACCUGCUUUUAACAGCAAAGGAUACAGUCAACAAAACUCAAAGACAACCUACAGAAUGGGAGAAGAUAUUUGCAAAUGACAUAUCAGAUAAAGGGCUAGUUUCCAAGAUCUAUAAAGAACUUAUUAAACUCAACACCA
Molecule: long non-coding RNA, 344 nt
Filed under: Canis lupus dingo (dingo)
Lineage: Eukaryota; Metazoa; Chordata; Mammalia; Carnivora; Canidae
Description: lncRNA (ENSCAFG00020024775.1)
Source: RNAcentral